This 24-nucleotide non-coding RNA is filed under the name Rattus norvegicus (Norway rat). The record is from RNAcentral. Lineage: Eukaryota; Metazoa; Chordata; Mammalia; Rodentia; Muridae.
UCCAUAUCUGUCUGUCCAUCCAUC